UACAGAGGUCCCAAGCGUUGUUCGGAUUCACUGGGCGUAAAGGGUGCGUAGGCGGUCGGGUAAGUCUGAUGUGAAAUCUCACAGCUUAACUGUGAAACUGCAUUGGAUACUAUCCGGCUAGAGGAAUGGAGGGGAGACUGGAAUACUUGGUGUAGCAGUGAAAUGCGUAGAUAUCAAGUGGAACACCAGUGGCGAAGGCGAGUCUCUGGACAUUUCCUGACGCUGAGGCACGAAAGCCAGGGGAGCAGACGGG
This 253-nucleotide ribosomal RNA is filed under the name uncultured bacterium. RNAcentral describes it as "partial 16S ribosomal RNA". It matches the Rfam family "Bacterial small subunit ribosomal RNA", at positions 524 to 776 of the family's 1533-position model. The record is from RNAcentral.